RNAcentral lists this ribosomal RNA (580 nucleotides) under Penicillium sp. Its description in RNAcentral is "partial 18S ribosomal RNA". The stretch from base 209 to 362 matches the Rfam family "5.8S ribosomal RNA". The record is from RNAcentral. Lineage: Eukaryota; Fungi; Ascomycota; Eurotiomycetes; Eurotiales; Aspergillaceae.
UCCGUAGGUGAACCUGCGGAAGGAUCAUUACCGAGUGCGGGCCCUCGCGGCCCAACCUCCCACCCGUAUCUCUCUCUACCUGUUGCUUUGGCGGGCCCACCGGGGCCACCCGGUCGCCGGGGGACGUCCGUCUCCGGGCCCGCGCCCGCCGAAGCGCCCUGUGAACCCUGAUGAAGAUGGGCUGUCUGAGUCGCAUGAAAAUUGUCAAAACUUUCAACAAUGGAUCUCUUGGUUCCGGCAUCGAUGAAGAACGCAGCGAAAUGCGAUAAGUAAUGUGAAUUGCAGAAUUCCGUGAAUCAUCGAAUCUUUGAACGCACAUUGCGCCCCCUGGCAUUCCGGGGGGCAUGCCUGUCCGAGCGUCAUUUCUGCCCUCAAGCGCGGCUUGUGUGUUGGGCGUGGUCCCCCCGGGGACCUGCCCGAAAGGCAGCGGCGACGUCCGUCCGGUCCUCGAGCGUAUGGGGCUCUGUCACUCGCUCGGGACGGAUCGGCGGAGGUUGGUCACCACCACAGUUUUACCACGGUUGACCUCGGAUCAGGUAGGAGUUACCCGCUGAACUUAAGCAUAUCAAUAAGCGGAGGA